UCCAAAGAGUCGAGUGUUCUCACUGAACUGUAUUGUUUGACACCUCCGAGCUUUAUAUCGUCCAUUUAUUCAUCUGAUAAUAUUUGCUCCAAUUUACUAGCUCUCAUACAGCUCCUUGCAGGCGUUUGUUUGAGAACAGUUGUAAGAUGAACCCGAGACCGUAUGCCCUGAAUGUUAUUUACAAAUUCCUCCAUAGAAGGGACGCACUUAUUUUUCCCUAGUGGGCGACGUUGAGAAGGCAGUCUGUAUCGACCAAGCGUGCAAUUGCAGACCAAUCCUCAAUUUUACACGAUCCUUUAAAUCAUCUCUAUCGGUCUUCGCUUAUGACCCAGCAUGUUAUUUUAACGAUAUGUUUUUGUUAGCAGGUGAGAAUUGUAUACAGAUAUAUUUCCAGGCCAAAGCGAGGACAGUGUGUAUUAGACAGCAAGCCGACCUGCUUUAGCUUCUUGUACCGAUUCGGCUGAAUCUCUCGGUUACGAGCAACAUACAAGGCCUGGGGUUUUAUCGACCACUCUCGGUUGACUCAAGGUGAGGACGUCAUCAUGGUUCCUGAGUGAGACCGGGCGAGCAGCGUGUCCUGGAUGUUUGGUGGACAGUGCUUCAGUUUUAUCUAGUGUACAUCAGCCUCUUUCCCCACCUUUCCUUCCUCCUCCAAUUUGCCAUGCCAUGGUUUCGUUAAAUCUUAAUCAACAGCAUUGUCCCAGCAUCAACAACGACCACUGGACAGCAAACUGUCUCUACUUCAUCGUCAGAGCCCCGAAACCAGCCGGCCCACAGAUGGAUUGAUGCCUGAGAGCAGUUACUGGCAGCUCUGCCCUCCGUCGAAGGCCAGCCUGCAGGGGGUGCUCAGCUCCAGCUUCCCCCCCGGCCCCGUGCCCCUGGGUCCUCCAGAAAGCCACCUGCCGGAGGGGGAUGCCCUGAACCGUCCGCUCGCCCCUAGCACCUCUGUGACGGACCUGUCUUUUCCCGGGCCUCCCCCUCCCCCCCCGCCACCCCCCAAACGCCACUGUCGUUCGCUGUCUGUACCAGAGGACCUUUCACGCUGCCGGUACACCUGGCGGCCGAGCGCCUCCAAGGUCUGGACACCAGUGAACCGCCGAUGCCACAGUGGAGGGGGCGCGGGGGGGCCGUGUCCACUGCGUGCCCCCAGCUCCUCGCUAAACUCCUCGCUGCAUUCUUCUUCCAGCCCCACCUUUUUCAGUCUGGCCCUUUCCCCAGAUUCCCCACUGCCGUGGACUUUCCCCUGGGACCCGAGUGACGGUGCUGGAGGCGGCGCCUGCUGCUGCUUCUUCCCCUCGCCAUCCUCAUGCUCCUCCUCUCCUUCGCCACUCCACCCGCCGCCUCCUCCACAGAGGCGCUUUUCCCUCUCUCCUGUCCUCAUCCGAGAAGCUGCCGCCCAGUUCCUGCCGCCACCUCCGGUGCCCCCACAAAUCACGUCUCACCCUCCAGCGGUGCCCGCCUCGCCCUCGUCCGCCUGCAGCACUCCGUCUUCGGUGCGCCGUGCUCUUCCUCCUCAACUUCCACGGUGCCAUUCUCAGCCCUGCGACCUUCUUCUGCUCAAACCUGGCCUAAAACGCCGCAGGGACCCGGACAGACCAUGUGCACGGCCUGUGCUAGACUUCGCCAAAAUGACACAGACUCGAAGCACAGACCCUCUUAGUUAUAUGGAACGUGGCCGAUUGGCCUGUGGGGGUGAUGUCUGUAUGGGCCUUGAGCCUUUUUUUGGAGACUUCAGAGGCUCAUGUUCACCAGCUGAAGGCCUGGGUAGGACAAGUAUUGGGCCGUUAAGUGAAAGUGACGAGGAGGAGGAGAGAGAGGAGGAGGACCCUGAAGAGCGUGACGGAGGACAAACUAGCGUGUUUGAAAGGGAUUGUACUGAACUAGAUCUCACCCUCAUUGAGGAGAACUGAAAGUUAUCUGGGGAAGAUCUCCUUUCCCCCCCUCACCUCCACCGCCAGCAUUCAGCUCUGCACCACCUGCUACCUUACACUGGCAGGCCUCUCAGGAACCCUGCUGCCCUCGCACGAGGCGCGCAGGCGUAGACGCCCAUUAAUGAAGACAUGCCGACUACUAUCAUAUGCAGGCAGUCACAGACGCUGACCCAUCAACAUUGUACAUUCCAGAAUGAGUUUGCUAAGACAGUCUGAAGGAUGCAAAUAUUUCAAAAAGGUUUUAUGUGUAUCGGACGUCCUCUUAGAAUUCAUCUUCAAACUGACAGAACGUAACUGGAGGCGAAAAGCUUCCCGCUUCUUUCUUUUCUUGUCUUUCCUCUUGACUUCUUUUGAUAGUAAGAAUAGACUUUCUUGGAUGAUGGUUAUAAAUAUCAGUGUUUUGUUCAGUUGAAAUAUAAAAGGGCAGUAUGACAUAGCAGUAUUUACUCUGCAGACCUUUAUACUUCCUGACGAAGGUCCAUCUAAUUCAACAUAAGCCUUAAGAUGCCUGUUUUUUUUCUUCCUCUUAAUCAAAAGAUUCCUCAAGGAAAUUAAUUGUGUACUGUAGCUGUUGUUCUGUUUUUUUUUUCUUCUUUUUUUUCCUGCAGACUUUUUUUUUUUUUUUUAAUCUGUACAAUGCAUUCCUCUAAAACUGAAAUGUGUAUACAUUUAUUAAUGCACUGUAUUUGGGACAUUUAGAAAGAAACAAUGAAAGCAACCACUGUAUUCUGAAGGCACAUUGUUAUACUGUAUUGUACAGCGAGUAUUUGUUCAAAUAAGUUGUGUAAAGAUGGUAGCUUGAAGGUUGGAGACAGGCUAUUUCUGUCAUUUAGAGUUUUUUUUUUUUUUAUUGUAUGUGUGAUCAAUUCAGACUCAGUUUAUGUAAAAAUAAAGUUUAUUUGAAAUUACAGUGAGUUGACAUACCCAAAUGAGUUGUGUAAAACUGAAAUAAUUAACACCAUGAUAGCAAAAUGAUAGAAGUAAAUGAGUGAUUCUGUUGGGCUUUCCUUUUUCAAAAUUCAAGAUUUUGUUGCUUUCUCCCUCAUUUAAAAUUAAUCUUUGCUGUUUGUUUGCACACUGGCAAUAUUACAUAAAUACAAGUAAAAAAUGUUUUUUUUAUUUUUUUUAUUUAAAUUGACUCACUGCAAUCUCCUGGAUGUUAUAAAAUGGAAUGUCACAUGCCUUUUGAUGGUAAAUUUCCCACUGAGGUACGUUGUAUGUUAUGCAAGUUGAAACACAUUUCGUUUAGUGUAAGUCUUUAACUCAGUUAUUUUUAGUGUUUCAUUUAUAUCACAUAUUUUUCAAUUGAUAUUUAUUUGUAUAGUGCUUUUACAAUACAUAUUGUUUCAAAGCAUCUUUACAGAAAACUUAUGUUUCUAGUUACAAUUAAGAGUAUUAUGUUAUCUACGGUGGCCCAUUGCUGCCACAUAAUAUUUUUUCCACUCAUUUAUAACGAGAUUAUGUCGUUAAAACGACGUUUUCUCGUAAUAACGAGAUAUGUCGUUAAAACGACCUAUUUUGUACGUGACAGUGCCUUUAUCAUACUUCCGCGUUCAAAACGAAAAGCAGGAGUAAAUAGCGUAAAAUACCUUUCGAUGCCUGUAUUAAUGGCAGUGGCCAUAGCACGAGAUUGUGAUUUGGUGUACAGUUAAUCACAGAUACUUCAUUUAACCCAAGCUUUCUCAAACUUAUAAGGUAGAACAUUUUCCAAGAACCCCUUACAAUUAGCCUAGCCUUUAACAGUAAACCCAAAGUCGGUUUUUGUUGGAGUAAUGAACACAAUAUAAUUGUUUUAUUUCUAUAUUUAUAUUUAUUUUUUGAGAUAAAAAAAAAAUCGCAUUAGUGUAUCAGUCGCAUUUUAUUAUUACAUUAAAAUAAUGUAGGUAAAAUACCAGCAAAAACUAAACGUUUAGAAACAUUAGGCAAUAAACAUGUAUUUUAGGCUAUUUCCACAACAAAUCCUGUAAAUUUAACCGUAUUCAGUCAAUACAAAACAAGAAUGAAAAUAUAAGUAUAAAAUAAACAAAUUAUAGUAGCAUUCAUUACAAACAAUAUUUUUUUAAAGCGAAAUUAAUUUAUUUAAAGCGAAACUGAAACCGUCGUCGGGCUCGCGUAUCAAAUGAAUGAGAGUAUAAACCAUAGACUAAAAAAAUGGUAUAAACCCUUCAAUUUAAACGUGUUUAUGUGAAUAUCUUUUAUAUAUAGUAGUUCUGUUGUGUUUGUUUUAUGUUUGUUUGAGAACAGACAUUACUUUUUUCCUCACUGGAAUUCCUGCACAACUUGCAAUAUUAUAAAACAACAUUCGAAAGCAAUAAAUACUACAUUAAGCAAUUCUAAGAUGACAUUCUACGCGUUUAUCGUUUUAUUUAUUUAUUAAACAGACUUCAACAGCAACACAAUUCCGUUUACUAAAGUCUGUCAAUCAUCAUUAGAGCGCCACCCUCAGGAUAAUUAACGCAAGGACAUUAGAAUUCUGCCAAAAGUGUGUCUGUGUUCAGCGAUUAGAAUAUAAAUCUUACAAAAAUGGUAACUAGCAUAUGUAUUAAAGAAACGUCAAAAUGAAGUUUGUAACUAUUCAAUAAUGUGUUCAGAUUUCUCUGCUCAUGCACGCGACUUCAGGUGUCCAUGCGUGCGAAUGCGUGAUUCGAAUUUUAGUCGCUAUAGCGACGCGUGUUAUGAAUCCUGACUGCACAUGUUUACACUUGAACCGAUCGCUAUAUGUUGAUUGAGAGACGAGGCGAAUUCAGAGACUUUGGCAGAAUAUUUUCUGUGCUGAUCUUGCGAUUUUGAAGCUGUUCGGAGGAUUUCAGAGAGGAGACUUUUAUUCUAGAAGAAGAUCGGAGGAUAUAUCCUUUACAUAAAGUUUAAUUUUUUGAAGGAGUUCAUAUUAUUUCUAAGGACAGUUUUAUUUUAUUGUUCUUUUCUUAUUAUAAAAGGAGUUUUGAGUUUUAUUUUAUUUUUAUUUUAUUUUUUUGGAGGGGAUUUCUUAGGAGGGGGGGGGGGAUUUCUUAGGAGAAUUGUAUUUUAUUCUGUUUUUUGUAUUGUAUGUUGUAUUGUUUUAUUUCAGUUUACAGGAGGAUAUCGAUGGCUCACAUGAGUGAAAGAGGAGGUGAGUGCUUUAGGUUUUCAUUGUUUAUGGUAUGUUAUGGUAUGAUGUUGUACAAUGAUUGACUAAAUAUGAAGAAACUUGUGUCAGGUAACCCAUUUGAUCCCCCAAUUUUCCCAGCUAAGUGAUCACAUGUAUUUGAUUCUUAUUCCUUGCAUAUGAAAUAAACUUUUCAAUUUGAGUAACUAUAGUAACAAUUUGUAAUUGACCACUGACAUUGAUUAUUGAUUAUUAUUAAAACAUUUGGUUUGGAGACCCGGUUCUGAUGACCGUGAUCAGGAUCCGCUGCCAGACUCGACCCAGACACAGAGAGGGCCAGGAGCUUCCUGGAUAUUUAACACCUCUGUCUUCUGAUUUGGCUGUUUCUGUGUCCUCAGGUCAGGAUCACCGGAGGAGGGAGUGGCAGAGCGGCAGCCAGCAGAGGCCAGAUGAUGGACGUCCGUCCACUUCAUCUAAACUCUCUCGCAGAGAUUCCCUCUCUGAGGACAAUGUUGUGAGGCGGUUCAGCAGAGAGUCCAUCAGCCUUAGCAGCAGAGGCUCGUACAGCGUCGAAUGGAGGUGGAGUGGUGAUAUUUCGGACAGCCCAAGCGAACAGGAGAGUUGCAGCAGCAUCUGUUUGUCCAGGUCCGACAGCCUCGAAGGGUGGACGUGCCCUCCGCUGCCAGGUCAAGUUCCUCUUGAGCCACCAGAGACUUCACAUGGCCGAACUGCUCCGGGAGCCAGGGAAUCUUCUCCUGUGACCAAGAGCUCAACAG
Ctenopharyngodon idella (grass carp) is the source of this 5792-nucleotide RNA transcript. It is a transcript of the gene named serine/threonine-protein kinase pim-2-like, with no coding region annotated. The record is from RefSeq and is a predicted model, not a curated record. The transcript has 6 exons. Lineage: Eukaryota; Metazoa; Chordata; Actinopteri; Cypriniformes; Xenocyprididae.